This 301-nucleotide ribosomal RNA is filed under the name uncultured bacterium. RNAcentral's name for it is "partial 16S ribosomal RNA". It matches the Rfam family "Bacterial small subunit ribosomal RNA", at positions 509 to 809 of the family's 1533-position model. The record is from RNAcentral.
CAGUCGCCGCGGUAAAACGUAGGUCCCGAGCGUUGUCCGGAUUUAUUGGGCGUAAAGCGAGCGCAGGCGGUUAGAUAAGUCUGAAGUUAAAGGCUGUGGCUUAACCAUAGUAUGCUUUGGAAACUGUUUAACUUGAGUGCAGAAGGGGAGAGUGGAAUUCCAUGUGUAGCGGUGAAAUGCGUAGAGAUGUGGAGGAACACCAGUGGCGAAGGCGACUCUCUGGUCUGUAACUGACGCUGAGGAGCGAAAGCGUGGGGAGCGAACAGGAUUAGAUACCCCGUAGUACCUGUCUCUUAUACAC